This 497-nucleotide ribosomal RNA is filed under the name uncultured bacterium. RNAcentral's name for it is "partial 16S ribosomal RNA". It matches the Rfam family "Bacterial small subunit ribosomal RNA", at positions 28 to 507 of the family's 1533-position model. The record is from RNAcentral.
GACGAACGCUGGCGGCGUGCCUAAUACAUGCAAGUAGAACGCUGAAGAGAGGAGCUUGCUCUUCUUGGAUGAGUUGCGAACGGGUGAGUAACGCGUAGGUAACCUGUCUUGUAGCGGGGGAUAACUAUUGGAAACGAUAGCUAAUACCGCAUAACAAUGGAUGACAAAUGUCAUUUAUUUGAAAGGGGCAAUUGCUCCACUACAAGAUGGACCUGCGUUGUAUUAGCUAGUAGGUGAGGUAAUGGAUCACCUAGGCGACGAUACAUAGCCGACCUGAGAGGGUGAUCGGCCACACUGGGACUGAGACACGGCCCAGAAUCCUACGGGAGGCAGCAGUAGGGAAUCUUCGGCAAUGGGGGCAACCCUGACCGAGCAACGCCGCGUGAGUGAAGAAGGUUGUCGGAUCGUAAAGCUCUGUUGUAAGUCAAGAACGGGUGUGAGAGUGGAAAGUUCACACUGUGACGGUAGCUUACCAGAAAGGGACGGCUAACUACGUG